CCUACGGGUGGCAGCAGUGGGGGAUAUUGCACAAUGGGGGAAACCCUGAUGCAGCGACGCCGCGUGGGUGAAGAAGCGCCUCGGCGCGUAAAGCCCUGUCAGCAGGGAAGAAAAUGACGGUACCUGAAGAAGAAGCCCCGGCUAACUACGUGCCAGCAGCCGCGGUAAUACGUAGGGGGCAAGCGUUAUCCGGAUUUACUGGGUGUAAAGGGGGCGCAGACGGGGGUGCAAGCCAGGAGUGAAAGGCCGGGGCCCAACCCCGGGACUGCACUUGGAACUGCGUGGCUAGAGUGCAGGAGGGGCAGGCGGAAUUCCUGGUGUAGCGGUGAAAUGCGUAGAUAUCAGGAGGAACACCGGUGGCGAAGGCGGCCUGCUGGACUGCAACUGACGUUGAGGCCCGAAAGCGUGUGGAGCAAACAGGAUUAGAUACCCUGGUAGUC
RNAcentral lists this ribosomal RNA (440 nucleotides) under uncultured bacterium. RNAcentral's name for it is "partial 16S ribosomal RNA". It matches the Rfam family "Bacterial small subunit ribosomal RNA", at positions 338 to 795 of the family's 1533-position model. The record is from RNAcentral.